This is a long non-coding RNA of Schistocerca gregaria, 1049 nucleotides long. RefSeq lists it as uncharacterized. The record is from RefSeq and is a predicted model, not a curated record. NCBI's taxonomy places the organism in Eukaryota, Metazoa, Arthropoda, Insecta, Orthoptera, Acrididae. The transcript is spliced from 3 exons.
UGUUAGCUCGGCUCCAAAGUCUCCAUCAAUAUCGGCGGCGCUUUGCACGCUGCGGAGCCACGCAGAGGUAACAAACUGUGCUGUGCGGCUGGUCCCGGCGGAGGUUCGAGUCCUCCCUCGGGCAUGGGCAGGACGCAUAAAGACACUGGCAGCAGAUUUGAAACAGACACCGACACCCGAGCAGGAAUUGGAAUCCUGGAUCUCCUCUUUGCGAAGCAGCAACGCUACUCCGAGCCUGCUGUAAUCAAGCCUUUAGAUGUAGAGCUCAUUGGCAGCGCUGCGGUGCGGGAGAAACCCGUGGAGUGUCAGUUUUUGAGUUUGUGAGCGCUGAACACCGAUUCGUGGGCCACGGAGAAACACGGGCAGCAGCCCGCUGCUGAUAGCGCGUCACACGCCGCCGUCAUGUUGGCGCCCGCAUGGCGCUCGACGCAGCGCCGCGACGCAGGGGCCGCCGGUCCGACGACGAGCAAUUCUGUCGACCCCUCCAGGAACCGACGAAACGGGGCUCGGGGACUGUGAAGCUUUUUGCGUGCUUAGACUGCGGCAUGCUCCUCUUUAAGGCAGGACGUGUGGGAAAAUACAGUGGUCAUACGAGGUCAUGUAACUUGCAUUGUUUUAGAGAUAACUGAACCAAACUUUUGCACACGUUAUCUUUAUGUUAUUGGCUACAGUCCCGCGUGUUUCAAUUUCUUGUCAAAUAAGUUGAUCAGGAGAUUGCUGUAUACUUUUAGAACAUAUUACAUUAAUGGGGAACAUUUUCAAGAGUAUAUUUUGAGCCAUUUGAACAUUUUCUGAAUGGUUACUUCACUUAUCAGUUUCAAAAUGUCGUUGGCUAUUCUUAGUGUAGCAGUUUCUCUCGCAACACUUUCUUAAAUUUAUUUGUAAGAUACGCAGCAAUUUUUAUUUCACAAAAUUUAAAUAAAUUUGACAUUGAUGUACUUUGAACAGUUUUGUGCCACAGGAAGUUGUGCUGUAGUAUGUACAAAGUCUACCUUUCUAUCUGCAAUGGUUCAGCAGAAAAUGUACUUCAUACAUCUAAAAAUAAACGU